Molecule: long non-coding RNA, 243 nt
Filed under: Elaeis guineensis (African oil palm)
Lineage: Eukaryota; Viridiplantae; Streptophyta; Magnoliopsida; Arecales; Arecaceae
Description: long non-coding RNA (EGUI_LNC010400)
Source: RNAcentral
GGAUUGAAGAACCACCAUCCUCUGACCUUUGGAUAAGAUCGAAGGACAAAGAAAGCAUGAAAAAGAGAAGGAUGAGGUUCAAUCGGCAACAACCAACAUAACAAAACAAAAUUGAUUAUCAGUCGAACUGAGUUUGGGGCCAGUAGAGCAGGACAAAGACCAUAAUAAUCUAAAAUAUUUCGAACAAACUUCGAGAUCGAAAAUCGAAGAUCCGCCCAAAGAUUUUUAACAUAAAAAGCCACC